GGUCGCGUAGCUCAAUGGUAGAGCAGCUCCCUCUUAAGGAGUCGGUUGGAGGUUCGAGUCCUCCCGCGAUCACCA
This 75-nucleotide transfer RNA is filed under the name Candidatus Woesebacteria bacterium RIFCSPHIGHO2_01_FULL_39_95. Its description in RNAcentral is "tRNA-Lys". It matches the Rfam family "tRNA". Rfam says of the family: Transfer RNA (tRNA) molecules are approximately 80 nucleotides in length. Their secondary structure includes four short double-helical elements and three loops (D, anti-codon, and T loops). The record is from RNAcentral. Lineage: Bacteria; Candidatus Woeseibacteriota. RNAcentral also lists the same sequence under 4 other names.